Molecule: long non-coding RNA, 473 nt
Organism: Leptidea sinapis
Lineage: Eukaryota; Metazoa; Arthropoda; Insecta; Lepidoptera; Pieridae
Exons: 2
Source: RefSeq, a predicted model, not a curated record
UAUGUUCACAUAUUUUUGCAAGAGCAGAUGAUAGGGCAAUAGGUCUAUAACUGGUGGCUUUAGAUGGACUCUGACCUGGUUUGAGUAUAGGAAUGAUCACUUGAUUUUUCCAAGAUGGAGGAAAGAAUAGGGGAUGCCAUCGGCCCCGGGAGAAGUGUCAACUAAGCCAUCCAAUGCCAGAAGGAGUUCUGAAAAAGAGAAAGGGGAGUCUAAACUAUGAGUUGAUGAGAGAGGGAUUGGAGGUGAAGGGAGAUAGUCUUCAUUAGGAACUGAAGGGGGUGACAACCUAUCUGCAAAGGAUUCAAGCCAUACAGAUGGAUCUACACUUGAGUCAUGCUCUGAAGGAUUGUAAGAACCCCUAAAUUUUUUAACUUGUUUCCAUACAGUUGUAGAUGGAGUACAGGGAGAUAAGCUCUGGCAAAAAUUGAUCCAACCUUGUUUUUUCUUUUUGGCAAAUAAAUUAGUGGCCUUGG